AUUGAACGCUGGCGGCAGGCCUAAUACAUGCAAGUCGAACGGUAACAGGAAGAAGCUUGCUUCUUUGCUGACGAGUGGCGGACGGGUGAGUAAUGUCUGGGAAACUGCCUGAUGGAGGGGGAUAACUACUGGAAACGGUAGCUAAUACCGCAUAAUGUCGCAAGACCAAAGAGGGGGACCUUCGGGCCUCUUGCCAUCGGAUGUGCCCAGAUGGGAUUAGCUAGUAGGUGGGGUAACGGCUCACCUAGGCGACGAUCCCUAGCUGGUCUGAGAGGAUGACCAGCCACACUGGAACUGAGACACGGUCCAGACUCCUACGGGAGGCAGCAGUGGGGAAUAUUGCACAAUGGGCGCAAGCCUGAUGCAGCUAUGCCGCGUGUAUGAAGAAGGCCUUCGGGUUGUAAAGUACUUUCAGCGGGGAGGAAGGGAGUAAAGUUAAUACCUUGGCUCAUUGACGUUACCCGCAGAAGAAGCACCGGCUAACUCCGUG
This 490-nucleotide ribosomal RNA is filed under the name uncultured bacterium. RNAcentral describes it as "partial 16S ribosomal RNA". It matches the Rfam family "Bacterial small subunit ribosomal RNA", at positions 30 to 507 of the family's 1533-position model. The record is from RNAcentral.